RNAcentral lists this transfer RNA (67 nucleotides) under Ichthyscopus lebeck (longnosed stargazer). Its description in RNAcentral is "tRNA-Cys". The record is from RNAcentral. RNAcentral also lists the same sequence under 1 other name. Lineage: Eukaryota; Metazoa; Chordata; Actinopteri; Uranoscopiformes; Uranoscopidae.
AGCCCCGUGGUGCAGUGCAUGUCGGAUUGCAAGUCCGGAGGAGCAGGCUAGUCCCCUGCCGGGGCUU